UCAUGAUGAACGCUAGCUACAGGCUUAACACAUGCAAGUCGAGGGGCAGCAUGGUCUUAGCUUGCUAAGGCCGAUGGCGACCGGCGCACGGGUGAGUAACACGUAUCCAACCUGCCGUCUACUCUUGGACAGCCUUCUGAAAGGAAGAUUAAUACAAGAUGGCAUCAUGAGUCCGCAUGUUCACAUGAUUAAAGGUAUUCCGGUAGACGAUGGGGAUGCGUUCCAUUAGAUAGUAGGCGGGGUAACGGCCCACCUAGUCUUCGAUGGAUAGGGGUUCUGAGAGGAAGGUCCCCCACAUUGGAACUGAGACACGGUCCAAACUCCUACGGGAGGCAGCAGUGAGGAAUAUUGGUCAAUGGGCGAGAGCCUGAACCAGCCAAGUAGCGUGAAGGAUGACUGCCCUAUGGGUUGUAAACUUCUUUUAUAAAGGAAUAAAGUCGGGUAUGGAUACCCGUUUGCAUGUACUUUAUGAAUAAGGAUCGGCUAACUCCGUGCCAGCAGCCGCGGUAAUACGGAGGAUCCGAGCGUUAUCCGGAUUUAUUGGGUUUAAAGGGAGCGUAGAUGGAUGUUUAAGUCAGUUGUGAAAGUUUGCGGCUCAACCGUAAAAUUGCAGUUGAUACUGGAUAUCUUGAGUGCAGUUGAGGCAGGCGGAAUUCGUGGUGUAGCGGUGAAAUGCUUAGAUAUCACGAAGAACUCCGAUUGCGAAGGCAGCCUGCUAAGCUGCAACUGACAUUGAGGCUCGAAAGUGUGGGUAUCAAACAGGAUUAGAUACCCUGGUAGUCCACACGGUAAACGAUGAAUACUCGCUGUUUGCGAUAUACAGCAAGCGGCCAAGCGAAAGCGUUAAGUAUUCCACCUGGGGAGUACGCCGGCAACGGUGAAACUCAAAGGAAUUGACGGGGGCCCGCACAAGCGGAGGAACAUGUGGUUUAAUUCGAUGAUACGCGAGGAACCUUACCCGGGCUUAAAUUGCAGAUGAAUUACGGUGAAAGCCGUAAGCCGCAAGGCAUCUGUGAAGGUGCUGCAUGGUUGUCGUCAGCUCGUGCCGUGAGGUGUCGGCUUAAGUGCCAUAACGAGCGCAACCCUUGUUGUCAGUUACUAACAGGUUCCGCUGAGGACUCUGACAAGACUGCCAUCGUAAGAUGUGAGGAAGGUGGGGAUGACGUCAAAUCAGCACGGCCCUUACGUCCGGGGCUACACACGUGUUACAAUGGGGGGUACAGAGGGCCGCUACCACGCGAGUGGAUGCCAAUCCCAAAAACCUCUCUCAGUUCGGACUGGAGUCUGCAACCCGACUCCACGAAGCUGGAUUCGCUAGUAAUCGCGCAUCAGCCACGGCGCGGUGAAUACGUUCCCGGGCCUUGUACACACCGCCCGUCAAGCCAUGGGAGCCGGGGGUACAAGAAGUGCGUAACCGCGAGGAGCGCCCUAGG
Molecule: ribosomal RNA, 1433 nt
Filed under: uncultured bacterium
Lineage: Bacteria
Description: bacterial SSU rRNA
Rfam family: Bacterial small subunit ribosomal RNA
Source: RNAcentral